CAGCAGCCGCGGUAAUACGAAGGGUGCAAGCGUUACUCGGAAUUACUGGGCGUAAAGCGCACGUAGGCGGACAUUUAAGUCAGGGGUGAAAUCCCGGGGCUCAACCCCGGAACUGCCUUUGAUACUGGGUGUCUUGAGUGUGGAAGAGGUCAGUGGAAUUGCGAGUGUAGAGGUGAAAUUCGUAGAUAUUCGCAGGAACACCAGUGGCGAAGGCGGCUGACUGGUCCACAACUGACGCUGAGGUGCGAAAGCGUGGGGAGCAAACAGGAUUAGAUACCCCCGUAGUCCCUGUCUCUUAUAC
Molecule: ribosomal RNA, 301 nt
Filed under: uncultured bacterium
Lineage: Bacteria
Description: partial 16S ribosomal RNA
Rfam family: Bacterial small subunit ribosomal RNA
Source: RNAcentral